UACGUAGGGACCAAGCGUUGUCCGGAAUCAUUGGGCGUAAAGAGCGUGUAGGCGGCUUGUUAAGUCUUGCGUGAAAUCUCGGGGCUCAACCCCGAGCGGUCGUGAGAAACUGGCAGGCUAGAGUGCGGGAGAGGAGAGUGGAAUUCCUGGUGUAGCGGUGAAAUGCGCAGAUAUCAGGAAGAACACCCGUGGCGAAGGCGGCUCUCUGGGCAUUACCUGACGCUGAGGAGCGAAAGUGUGGGGAGCGAACAGG
This 253-nucleotide ribosomal RNA is filed under the name uncultured bacterium. Its description in RNAcentral is "partial 16S ribosomal RNA". It matches the Rfam family "Bacterial small subunit ribosomal RNA", at positions 524 to 776 of the family's 1533-position model. The record is from RNAcentral.